RNAcentral lists this ribosomal RNA (467 nucleotides) under uncultured bacterium. RNAcentral's name for it is "partial 16S ribosomal RNA". It matches the Rfam family "Bacterial small subunit ribosomal RNA", at positions 28 to 507 of the family's 1533-position model. The record is from RNAcentral.
GACGAACGCUGGCGGCGUGCUUAACACAUGCAAGUCGAACGGAAAGGCCUCUUUCGGGGGGUACUCGAGUGGCGAACGGGUGAGUAACACGUGAGUAACCUGCCCUUGACUUUGGGAUAACUUCAGGAAACUGGGGCUAAUACCGGAUAGGAGCUCCUGCUGCAUGGUGGGGGUUGGAAAGUUUCGGCGGUUGGGGAUGGACUCGCGGCUUAUCAGCUUGUUGGUGGGGUAGUGGCUUACCAAGGCUUUGACGGGUAGCCGGCCUGAGAGGGUGACCGGCCACAUUGGGACGGAGAUACGGCCCAGACUCCUACGGGAGGCAGCAGUGGGGAAUAUUGCACAAUGGGUGGAAGCCUGAUGCAGCAACGCCGUGUGCGGGAUGACGGCCUUCGGGUUGUAAACCGCUUUCGCUCAUGACGAAGCUUUGUGUGACGGUAGUGGGUAAAGAAGCACCGGCUAACUACGUG